UACUGCGGCCAACUAUGAAAGCGAAC
Molecule: non-coding RNA, 26 nt
Filed under: Mus musculus (house mouse)
Lineage: Eukaryota; Metazoa; Chordata; Mammalia; Rodentia; Muridae
Source: RNAcentral